Molecule: long non-coding RNA, 1919 nt
Organism: Ruditapes philippinarum (Manila clam)
Lineage: Eukaryota; Metazoa; Mollusca; Bivalvia; Venerida; Veneridae
Exons: 4
Source: RefSeq, a predicted model, not a curated record
GAACUAUAUUCCCGCUGACGUCAUUUUCCCGAAAUCGCUAUCUUGGUCAGUUAUUCCGAGAAAAGGCUGAGAAGAUUUGCUAUCAAUUACGAAGUCCCAGCUAUUACGUUGAUAUUUUGGUUGCAAUCUAUUCCAUCUUGGUGUAUUGUCUUCAUACUUGGCCACAACAACCCUUCAAAUAGACCAGACUAAACUUGACCUCCAUAUAAACAUUCAAGAUGGUCGGCCUACAUGUCAGAUUUGUGAAUGUGAACGGCAGGAUAUCGAGUUUAAGGAUGCUUUAGGGUCAAUGAGAAUGAAAUCAAGAGAGAUAAAGGCUAAAAUGUGAGACUGUCAAUCUGACAAACCUUGCAGUGAAUAAAUGGAAACAGUGGCGUUUGUAUGAUAGAACAGUAAUAGCAGGAGUGAUAAGGACAGAUGCAUGUAGAUGUGUCUUCAUGUCGGAAACACUACUAGAGAAAUUGAAAUAUUUGGGUUUUUCAAAACUUAAAAGAAAUUGGAAUACCAGGAGACUGCUUGCCCUUUGCAAUGUUGGAUGAUGUGAUGUCGAAAGCCUCAUGAAUAUAGUAACUUGACUUAAUCUAAUAAGAAAAAGAAAUGACAUUGAGGAGAAAACUAGUCACCAGUCUUUCACCAAGAACAUGAGAUAACUUUCCAAUAUUUGAAAUAUCAUAAUAUGUAUAGAACUUAAAUGAGCUAACAGUUUUUCACCAGGAAAAUAAGAUCACUUAUCUAUUUUUGAAAUAUGUAUGAACAGAACUCUAUCAACUUCAAGGUGAGAGUUUAUCACAAAGAACAUGAGAUAACCUAUGUAUGAACAGAACCACAUUUGUAUAUAGAGGCGCCAGUUCAUCUCCAAGAAGAUGAGCUAACUUAUCAAUGUUUGAAAUCUGUUAUACCCCCGCACAACUAAGUUGUAAGGGGGGUAUACUGGAAUCAGCUUGUCCGGCCGUCGGGAGUUUGUCAGUUUUUUCUUGUCCGUCCAAUAACUUAAGAUUCCUUUGACCCACAGUCUUCAUAUUUGGCAUGGAGAUAAGUCAUGAUUAGUAGAUGACCUCUUUUAAUUUUGAGAACACCAAGUCAAAGGUCAAGGUCACAGGGUCUUGACUGAAGAAAGCUUUUCUGCCCAAUAACUUAAGAAUCCUUCGACCCACAGUCUUCAUUUUUGGCAUGGAGGUUAGUCAUGAUUAGUAGAUGACCCCUAUUUAUUUUCAGGUCUAAGGUCAUGGUCACAGGGGCCUUGGCUAAUUAAAGCUUGUCCUCCCAAUUACCUAAGAAUCCUUUGACCCGUAGUCUUCAUAUUUGGCAUGGAGGUUAGUCAAGAUUAGUGGAAUACCUCUAUUGAUUUUGAGGUCACUGGGGCAAAGGUCAAGGUCACAGGGGCUUUUAUUACAAUUAGCUUGUCUGCUCAAAUGGUCUUAUAUAUUCAUCAUAAAACACCUCCAGGCAAGGCUGCAUGAAAUGGGGGGGGGUGUUAUUGAAGUCAUUCAAUGGCAGUUUCAGUUUUGAGGUCAGUAGGUCAAAGGUAAAGUUCACUUUGAUCUUUUCCACUAAAACAUGUAGAAUACAUAACUUAGCAAUGCACUGGCUUACUUCCCUCAGAUUUGGCUGGGAGGUUGUCUGAGCUGUAAAUGACUACUGGUGUGAUUCUGACAAAUUGGUAUGUGGGGGUAUUCACGCCAUGACAAUGGCAGUUCUAGUUUGUACAGAAAAUAUCAAGGUGCAAGUUUCUUUUAUUAAGAAUAGACUUAUUGAUUAGAUAACUUACAAUAUUUACAAACAUUUAUAAUACCAUACCCAUUUAAAGUAUUUCAGCUGAGAGUGUAUUAUCCAAAAUACAUGUAUUGUUAUAAUGUACUUUAUAGUAUAUUUAUUGUAAAGUUUUGAUUCUACUAGAUUUUAAAAACAUUUAGAUUUUA